RNAcentral lists this ribosomal RNA (1962 nucleotides) under human gut metagenome. Its description in RNAcentral is "bacterial LSU rRNA". It matches the Rfam family "Bacterial large subunit ribosomal RNA", at positions 1 to 1973 of the family's 2925-position model. The record is from RNAcentral.
GAAAGUAAAGAAGGGCGCAUGGCGGAUGCCUUGGCUCUCGGAGGCGAUGAAGGACGUGAUAAGCUGCGAUAAGCUUUGGGGAGGUGCAAAUGACCUUUGAUCCAGAGAUUUCCGAAUGGGACAACCCAAUAUCUUGAAGAGGUAUUAUCCAACGUUGUUGGAGGCUAACGCAGGGAACUGAAACAUCUUAGUACCUGCAGGAAAAGAAAAUAAACAAUGAUUCCCCCAGUAGUGGCGAGCGAACGGGGAACAGCCCAAACCAUCCAUGUUACGGCAUGGGUGGGGUUGUAGGACUACGCCGUUGCAUGAAGACAUCAGAGAAGAACUUUCUGGAAAGAAAGACCAUAGAGCAUGACAGUUGCGUAUUCGAAUGUUGUCGAAGCAUAGUAGUAUCCUGAGUAGCGCGGAGCACGAGGAAUUCUGCGUGAAUCUGCCGGGACCAUCCGGUAAGGCUAAAUACUCCCGAGAGACCGAUAGCGAACCAGUACCGUGAGGGAAAGGUGAAAAGCACUUCGAACAGAAGAGUGAAAUAGUUCCUGAAACCGUGCGCCUACAAGCGGUCGGAGCUCGUUAAUGAGUGACGGCGUGCCUUUUGCAUAAUGAACCUACGAGUUGCCUUUGCCGGCAAGGUUAAGUGUGACGACACACGUAUCCGAAGCGAAAGCGAGUCUGAACAGGGCGUAUAGUCGGCAGUGGCAGACGCGAAACCAAGUGAUCUACCCUUGGCCAGGUUGAAGGCUGGGUAACACCAGCUGGAGGACCGCACCAAUAAGCGUUGAAAAGCUUCUGGAUGAGCUGAGGGUAGGGGUGAAAGGCUAAUCAAACUUGGAGAUAGCUCGUACUCCCCGAAAUGCAUUUAGGUGCAGCCUUGCGGGUUACUGAUGUGAGGUAGAGCGACUGAUAAGAUGCGAGGGCUUCACCGCCUAUCAAGUCUUGACAAACUCCGAAUGCGCAUCAGUUCUACCGCAGGAGUGAGGGCAUGGGUGCUAAGGUCCGUGCCCGAGAGGAGAAGAAUCCGGACCACCUGCUAAGGUCCCGAAAUGACAGCUAAGUUAAACUAACGAAGUCUGACUGCUAAGACAGCUAGGAUGUUGGCUUGGAAGCAGCCAUUCAUUUAAAGAGUGCGUAACAGCUCACUAGUCGAGGAGUCGGGCGUGGAUAAUAAUCGGGUAUUAAGUUGUCUACCGAAGCAGUGGGAUCAUUAAUAUGAUCGGUAGGGGAGCAUUCCAGUCAGCGUCGAAGGCGUACCGUGAGGUAUUCUGGAGCGUCUGGAAAAGCAAAUGUAGGUAUAAGUAACGAUAAAGGGGGCGGGAAACCCCCUCGCCGAAAGACUAAGGUUUCCUGAUCAACGCUAAUCGGAUCAGGGUCAGUCGGGUCCUAAGGCUCAGCCGAACGGCGAUGCCGAUGGCAGAAACGGUUAAUAUUCCGUUACUACCUUCAGGAGUGACGUGGAGACGCAGUAGUGACAGUGCCGCCAUCUGACGGAAUAGAUGGUUGAAGGGUGUAGGAGUCGAUCAUGGCAGGCAAAUCCACCAUGAGAUCCGAACCUGACAGUAUGCCGCGUCCUUCGGGACAAGGCAAUAGUGCGCGUAAGCAUGCUGCCGAGAAAAUCCGCUAAACUUAAUCCUGCAGGUACCCGUACCGCAAACGGACACACGUAGUCGGGAUGAAUAUUCUAAGGCGCUUGAGUGAUUCACGGUUAAGGAACUAGGCAAACUGACCCUGUAACUUCGGGAUAAAGGGUCCCUACCCUUUUAUGGGAGGGCGCAGAGAAUCGGUCCAGGCAACUGUUUAACAAAAACACAGGGCUGUGCCAAAUCGAAAGAUCCAGUAUACAGCCUGACACCUGCCCGGUGCUGGAAGGUUAAGAGGAGAUGUCAUCGAUAAGAGAAGCGUUGAAUUGAAGCCCCAGUAAACGGCGGCCGUAACUAUAACGGUCCUAAGGUAGCGAAAUUCCUUGUC